CCUACGGGAGGCAGCAGUGAGGAAUAUUGGUCAAUGGACGAGAGUCUGAACCAGCCAAGUAGCGUGAAGGAUGACUGCCCUACGGGUUGUAAACUUCUUUUAUAUGGGAAUAAAAUGUUCCACGUGUGGGAUUUUGUAUGUACCAUAUGAAUAAGGAUCGGCUAACUCCGUGCCAGCAGCCGCGGUAAUACGGAGGCUCCGAGCGUUAUCCGGAUUUAUUGGGUUUAUAGGGAGCGUAGGUGGAUUGUUAUGUCGGUUGUGAAAGUUUGCGGCUCAACCGUAAAAUUGCAGUUGAAACUGGCAGUCUUGAGUACAGUAGAGGUGGACGGAAUUCGUGGUGUAGCGGUGAAAUGCUUAGAUAUCGCGAGGAACUCCGGUGGCGAAGGCAGUUCACUGGACUUCAACUGAAACUGAGGCUCGAAGGUGUGGGUAUCAAACGGGAUUAGAUACCCGUGUAGUC
Molecule: ribosomal RNA, 460 nt
Filed under: uncultured bacterium
Lineage: Bacteria
Description: partial 16S ribosomal RNA
Rfam family: Bacterial small subunit ribosomal RNA
Source: RNAcentral